This is a non-coding RNA of Peromyscus maniculatus bairdii (prairie deer mouse), 1098 nucleotides long. NCBI's taxonomy places the organism in Eukaryota, Metazoa, Chordata, Mammalia, Rodentia, Cricetidae. The record is from RefSeq and is a predicted model, not a curated record.
GCUGUAGGAAAAGUUCUAUGUCCUGCCGACAACUAAGAAUAUAUGAGGACAAAGCUUGGCAGCUACAGAGGAGUCCGAAAACCAUCAGAUGCUCACCCUAUUACACCUUCUAGAUUAUCUCAGCCAUUGGAGGCUGUUUCUCUGCUGUGAGCUAGGAGAGUAACAGAACCUGCCUUACAGAGCUGCAGGCAGGGGUAAAUGAGACAAAGCUGAUCCAUAAAAGGCACUUUGAAGUGUGUUCACAACUACCCCAAGGAACAGACAAAAGCACGCUGAAGUGGCCUAUACUCAGGAGAGGUGGAGCUCCCCCCCACACUUAGUACUUGUGAACUCACUACCUCCAAGAAACCAGAGUUGCUGGAGAAGAUGCAGAUUCCCCGUCUCCACAGCAGAACAGCAUUGUUCCUUUCCUGUGUAGUGACUGUGCAUGCUAAGUUUGAAUUACCAUAGGAGGAAGGUCAGAAGAAAAGAACUGGACAUGAAUAAGGACACGUGAUCCAGCCUCACAGAGCGCCUCUGUUGCAGUUUCCUCAAAAAUCUACAUCUAGAACAAUUUCAAAGCUGCUAACUGAGAUUGUCCAGCCUCACGGACUACUCCAGCCAAGACUUCAAAUAAGCCUUACACUUUUCCAUUUUACACAGAGACUGGACAACAAAUGAUAUAGCUAGCCCUCCCAGGACUUGAUCAUUAAUUCAAUUUUCUCAGGGUCCCCUAAAGAUAUCAUCCCCUCAACAACAAGAAGUAAUUUUAAGAACACAAUGCCCACAUUCCCAAGAGGUGCUUUCAAAAAUAUUGCCAGGACACAAGCACUCAUACUCUGAGAGUGGGGGUGGGGAGAAGAAAUGCUUUUCCGAAAAGUGAUCCAGCAGAGAUAAAAUGGGGGUUCGUUUAGUCCACUGCUCAGAGGGAAACCGCAAGCCUGGCAAAUGGAUGCAACAGCACUUCCUUCUGGCCUGCUCGGUGGGAACAGGAGCAGGACAACCAGAUCCGGCCAGCUGCUGACCAGAUGCCGCCUUCAAUUAAUAUUCCAACCCUCAAAGACAUUCCCUGCUCCCUCUCGAAAGCAGAGCAGCUGAGUAAUAAAGAGACUCACUAAA